AUUGAACGCUGGCGGCAGGCCUAACACAUGCAAGUCGAGCGGAGCGGCGGACGGGUGAGUGAGGCCUAGGAAUCUGCCUGGUCGCGUGGGAUAACGUCAGGAAACGGACGCUAAUACCGCAUCCUAUCAGAUGCGCCUAGGUCGGAUUAGCUAGUUGGUGGGGUAAAGGCCUACCAAGGCGACGAUCCGUAACUGGUCUGAGAGGAUGAUCAGUCACACUGGAACUGAGACACGGUCCAGACUCCUACGGGAGGAAGCAGUGGGGAAUAUUGGACAAUGGGCGAAAUCCUGAUCCAGCCAUGCCGCGUGUGUGAAGAAGGUCUUCGGAUUGUAAAGCACUUUAAGUUGGGAGGCGUUACCAACAGAAUAAGCACCGGCUAACUUCGUGCCAGCAGCCGCGGUAAUAC
RNAcentral lists this ribosomal RNA (407 nucleotides) under uncultured bacterium. RNAcentral's name for it is "partial 16S ribosomal RNA". It matches the Rfam family "Bacterial small subunit ribosomal RNA", at positions 30 to 526 of the family's 1533-position model. The record is from RNAcentral.